Molecule: long non-coding RNA, 742 nt
Organism: Pipistrellus kuhlii (Kuhl's pipistrelle)
Lineage: Eukaryota; Metazoa; Chordata; Mammalia; Chiroptera; Vespertilionidae
Exons: 3
Source: RefSeq, a predicted model, not a curated record
AGCCUUCAUCAGCACGGUUUUUCGGAAGAGACGAGAAAGACAGUCUAGUCAGCAUAUUUGGUGGCUGGACCAAAAGCCCGGCCCUGAGUUCCAAAAGCUGCCUUUUCCUGAUUCGGGGACAGGUCCUCCCACCCACCCAGGCCGAGAAGCCCUGACCUCCGGACCCCGCCCAGGUCGCCCCCUCCUUCCCGAAGCCCACCGCUUUCCCAGCAGGCCUUGCCCGGGGCCGCUCCCGCAGCGGCAGGGGCGGGGCGGUACCGCCGCCAGGACUCGGUUCCCACCCGCGGCCUUCGCGCACCCCAUCGCGGACCCUGCCCAACCCUUCCGGGACCCGGACCUCUCCAGGCCGUUUGCUCCCAGGCUUUCUCUCCGCUGUGACCUGCAGACCUGCAGACAGACGCCAGACAGGUCGCUGCCACUUUUGGAGCCUCCCUGGCUGCACAGCUGCUGCCGCAGCUGCUGCGGGGACCCAGAUCCCUCACAUUAUCCCCGGUAAACUCUGACUUUUCCGUGGGUGAUUGAAGAACUCCCUUGAAUCCACGUGUUUGCGCUGAUUGGUGCAUCACAGCUGUUCGGUGGUCUUCACUGUUGAGGUUUCUCAGGCCUCGGCCAUCAUAAAUUGUUCUGGAUGAGAAACUGGAAGUCAUAGCAGAUCUACCUAAUACAUGGACACAAACCCAAACAGGCAGACAAGAUGGAGAGACAAAAAAAGCACAAGCCCGCGGAAACCGGUUUGGCUCAG